RNAcentral lists this ribosomal RNA (253 nucleotides) under uncultured bacterium. Its description in RNAcentral is "partial 16S ribosomal RNA". It matches the Rfam family "Bacterial small subunit ribosomal RNA", at positions 524 to 776 of the family's 1533-position model. The record is from RNAcentral.
UACGGAGGGUGCAAGCGUUAUCCGGAUUCACUGGGUUUAAAGGGUGCGUAGGCGGGCAAGUAAGUCAGUGGUGAAAUCUCCGGGCUUAACCGGGGAAUGGCGUCUGAUACUGGAUGGCUUGAGUUCGGGAGAGGGAUGCGGAAUUCCAGGUGUAGCGGUGAAAUGCGUAGAUAUCUGGAGGAACACCGGUGGCGAAGGCGGCAUCCUGGACCGAAACUGACGCUGAGGAGCGAAAGCCAGGGGAGCAAACGGG